AGGUGAGCUUUACAUUUAGGCAAAGCCUCUGACUAAUGAACAAAGGUUUCAAUCAUUGGAAAAAAAGAUAGAAAAGCUGGAAAAUAUAGUCCAAACUCUGUUACUGUCAAAUGAACAGAAAGAUAAAGUAACUGCAAGAAAAGAUCUUAAGAUUGCUGUCUUGCAAAGUGAAAAUGAAGAACUUCAGGCUAAAUUGCAGGGAUUGCAGGGAAACUGCUCAAUAAAUGAGCCACCAGAUGUGCUGGAAUGUAGAAAUCCUAAGCGAGACAAAGCAAAACACAUUGGCCGCAGCUUUCUGAAUUUGCUUUGCUGCUGCUGGUCAAAGCAGACGCAAAGCACAAUGUGAUAUAGCAAAAUUCUUAAACAGAUUUAUUUUAAAAAUAAAACUUUAAAUUAUUUUGGUUAAUUUAGAACAUAUAUUAAGUAAUUUUGCUAAAAUACAGGUUGUACUUAUAACCGCAUGAGUACACUCUUUCGUUUAUUUUAUCUUUAAGCGAAAAAAAUGAGAGCGUGUUAUAACAAUUGUAGUUUUGCCUUCAAGUUUUCUUUGCUUAGUGUGUGCAGAAAAAAUGCGAUAACAGUAUAAAUCAAGCAUAUAUAUCACAGCAAAUUAAAUAAAUGCAAUUAAAUAAUGGUGACACAAUCUCUAAUACAUGUAAGGUUGGGAUUUUCAAUAUUCAGGGCUGUUUUAUUAAAAGAUAGUAAAAAACAUGGAUGCUGACAGUGUAUAGUCUAUACAAGUUAAUACAACUACCCAGUUUCAAGAAUAAGAGUCCAAUGAAUUCCAGGAACACAACAAAGCAGUCAUAAGGUAGUCAAAUAAAGCUCAAUGCUGCCAUCUUGGGACUAAACUUAUUGGUUCUUGUUUCCAGACAAGAAAUAUUUCAAGGUCAAUCAACUAGAAAGAGAACUAAGGCUAGAAGUAAUGCUUGGCUUUAUCUAUGAGGAAGUUAGUCUGGCUCCUCUGUUUCGAUAUUUGCAAGAAGAAUUUAUAAUAAUAUCUUCAAGUAUGAUAUUUUGUUAUGCAGCCCCUAACUAAAUAUUACAUUUGACCUAGAGUUGUUGCGCCCACUUUUCAAGUCGAGGUCACAGUAGUUGAUUAUAAUCAAAGAUAAUGAAUAAGAUUGAUUAUCCCAACAUAAUGUUUUGUAUAUAUAAUGUUAAUUUGAAAAGAUUUCAAAUAUUUUAUUUUACAAACAAAAUAUAGCAAUCAUUUCAAUAAAACAAUAGAAAAAUGGCAGCAUAUACAAGUAGUGAAAGAGAAAAGAUGAAAAGAGAGAUUGAUGCAUUGCGUAAAAAGGACCAAGAGAAUCGUAAAAAGAUAAAAGAACUGGAAGAUGAAAAUCAGAAGAACAAUGCAAACCUACGGAGAACAAUUCUACAGAUUCUUCAGAAGGCAGGAGACAAGAUUGCCCACCCAGUGCUUACAAUCAUGGCUGCAUCUGAAGGAUUUAGCUUGAAUUUGGAAAACCACGGCAAAAUAUUUGUCCGUGGUGUAAUUCCAGAACCUUACCAGGAAGUCGCUCUAACAUUAGUGAAUGGUGUUGUAACUAUUAUAAAAGGAGCUAUUAAUUGCAUUAAAAGCUUUUUUCAGUAUUUAGUGGAAUGGGUUCAAGGAAAACUAGCCAUUAAGAAUGAGUAAUUCAUAAAAAAUUAUUAAGUGGAGUAAUUUAAUUCCUCUCGUGUAUUAGUUUAAACUUUUAGUAGAAACUGAUUACAUAGUAAUGUUUAAAAUUUUCUAAUUUAAUUUAAAAAAAAAAAUGAUAUAAAAAAUGUGUACAUAUUGUAAUGAUAUUCUUUGACUUUAGAGGAACCCCAUAUAUAAAGACUAAUGGCCUGGCUUUAAUAGUGUAUAUAAUAAUAUUGUGUGUUUUGAUUUAAUCGUAGUAAUUAACAAUAAAAUUGCUCAUUAUUUGAACAACUUGUGAUUUUUCAGCUCAUUUGAAUAUUAGUUUACAUACAGGUGGUUAUUGAUUAAAAUUAAUUAUCACAAGAUUAUACUUUGUUGCAAUCAUGUAAAAACUGACUUUUUUACCCAGUGAUUAGUGAUGGGUGUAAAUUGUCAGCCAUACAUUACAAAAAAAAUCACAAAAAAUGAAUUACCCACAAAGACAUUUUUGAGUUUAUCAUUCAAGCUUGUAAAAAGUGUUUCAUUAUCAUUUGUUAUGAAUAAAAUUAAUUAAAUUAAACUCAAGUCUUCAUUUCAAACAAAACAACACAAUAUUAUGUAAUGGUGUUCAGUUUGUGUUUGUGCGUAAAGCCAAUGAAAAGGCCAGAAAACAAUCAAAGUUAAUGGGAAGUUGGAUUACUAUAUUCAUGACCAGGUCUGGUUCCGCAUUAUACAAAGAAAAUAAAACUCUAGACAGCGGUGUUGGAAGUGUUGCUAAACUUUAGUUCCUCAUUUUUAAAGUUCCUCAAUUGUAAAACGAGGAUCCAGCCAACCGUUUUGUCUGCUUCAUGGCUGAAAAUUUAAGGUUCACCGCCACGUCAAGUUUUAACUGGGUUGUAUGUAGGAGCUUUUGGGGUAGUCAGAAGGUAGUCAAAUAAUGCUCAAUGCUGCCAUCUUGGGACUAAACUUAUUGGUUCUUGUUUCCAGACAAGAAAUAAUUCAAGGUCAAUCAACUAGAAAGAGAACUAAAGGUAAAAGUAAUGCUUGGCUUUACUUAUGGUGAAUUCAGUCUGGUUGUUCAACUCUAAGGUAAGCUUGCAAACAUAAGCUAUUUUGUGGCCUCUUUAAAAAUGGCAACUGAAGACCACAACUUUCUUGAUUUUGUUUUAAAAGCUGGGGGCUUUUCUGUCAAUAUUACAGGGACAUCAUUGCCCAUUCUUUCUUUUGCUGUUGGUAUGGGAUUUAUCAUUGCUGUAAUGGGGUGGCUCUGUAUCAAAGGUGGUUGGGUGGCAGGGCAGCAGGAACUAGAAAAAAUGAAGCUUGAACAAAAAAUAAUAAAGGAGGAACGAAAAGGAAUGAUUCAAUACAGAAAAAGGCUUGAAUUAGAAGGAAUACGAUAGUUCGUGAAAGAGAUGAAUGUGGUGUGUGCUAAAAACUGCUUCUGGAUUUUCAACGAUAAAAACUAGAGCAUGUGCUUAAUAGCGCGUGGAAAUAUUUUUGUUUAGCUUGUAAUGUCAAAUAGUUUUGUAUACAUUGUUAAAAUGUAGAGUUAAAACAACACCAUUUGUGUGAUUGUUAUAUACAAGGAUAGGCAACUAAGCCGUGUGUAUAUUUUAUAAGAUGUUUUGAAAGGUUUGCUAUGAAAUAAGAACUCUAAUGUUCUUGUGUAAUGAUGAAUAAAUUAAUAAAUGUAUUUACCCUCGCAUGGUUGGAAAACGACAGUUGUUAUAACACGGGUGUUCUGUUUCAUACACUUCGUGACGGCUAACAGGUUACCACGUAUAACUUUGUGGGCGAAUAUAUAUUUUUUUUUUGAAUGGUAAAAUUUAGACAACCCAGCAGCACAAGCAUCACAGAAAAAUGUCUAUCACUAUAUAAAAAUUCCAUGAUUAUAUAAAACUUCGUAAAUAAUUUUAUAAAGGUAUACAAUCCAUACACAGCUGUCGAAAAUUUACCAUAUUUGAAUAAAUGAGAAUAAAAACUAAUAAUGGUGAAACAAGCUCUAAUACGUAUGAGCUAUGAUUUUCAAUAUCCAUGGCUGUAAUAUUUAAUGACAGUGUAAUGUAUAUACAACUACCAACAGAAUAAAGCAGUCAAAUAAAGUUAACUUCACAAAGUUUAAGUCGAAUACAACAAGUCCAAUACAGCUCAAUGCUGCCAUCUUGGGACUAAACCUAUUGGUUUUUGUUUCAAGAUAAGAUAUUUAAGUCAGAGUUAAAGAUUAACUUUUGCUUCAUAUAAAGCUGACUACUGUCGUGUAUGGGCUUUUUAGUUCCUUUUAUAGCUAAGAAAAGAAAUGGCUUGUAAUUCAAGACCAAUCAACCAGAAAGAGGAACUAGAGGCAAAAGAGGAACUUGACUGAAGAGAAAUUCAGUCUGACUGUUCAACUUUAAGCUAAUUUAUUCUUCGUGGUAUCUUUGAAAAUGUCCGCUCUGGAAGUUAUAUUGAAAGCUACCACUGCUGUUGUGGCAGUGGGGUCAGUAUCCUUCACUUUUACAGGGAUAGCAGCAAUAAUUGUUGGUGUUGCUGCUGCUGCAGGGUUGCUCUACAUCUUAGUGAAGUAUCUGCCAAAGUGGAUUCAGCAGUUGAUUGACUGGACGACUAGGGUUCGAGUUGUCAACAAACAAGCAUAAAACCUCCAGUAAUUGUUGGUCACAAAUGGACAUGGAUACUUGUAUAUAAAUAACAAUUAUGUAGAUCUCCUUUCAUGUUAAUGCUUUCUAAUACAAAAGCUGAUUAUGAAUUUAAAUCAAUGUAUUUCAUGCAAUCUUUCCUAUGUGAGGCCAUUAUAGGCAUAUUAUAACUAAUGCAAUAAAUACAAUGUGAUUAGUUA
Molecule: non-coding RNA, 4442 nt
Organism: Ciona intestinalis (vase tunicate)
Lineage: Eukaryota; Metazoa; Chordata; Ascidiacea; Phlebobranchia; Cionidae
Source: RefSeq, a predicted model, not a curated record